Long non-coding RNA from Fukomys damarensis (Damara mole-rat), 782 nucleotides. RefSeq lists it as uncharacterized. NCBI's taxonomy places the organism in Eukaryota, Metazoa, Chordata, Mammalia, Rodentia, Bathyergidae. The record is from RefSeq and is a predicted model, not a curated record. The transcript has 3 exons.
CUCCCACCGAAUAGGUUUGUACCUACUACCACGCCAGGCUUGUCGUGACUCGAGAACCUGGACUGCCAUCUAAUUUCCUUUCCAUGUGACCUUCGGCAAAUCAGAUGGCUACUCUGAGCUUCUGUUUUCUCAAAUGAAAAAAGGGGCCAGCAGAAGUCUGCCUAAGUGGUUGUUAUGGUUGAGAUCUCUGAUGUCCUCCAAAGCCUCGUGUAUUCAGAGGCGGGGCUUUUGGAAGGGGAUUGGGUCACAGGGGUGCCGUUAUCUUCGGGAGAUUAAUCCAAUGAUGAAUCCUUGCUGAAUGUGCUGUUAGGAGGCGGGGCCAGGCGGGGAGACGCAGGUCUCCGGGGCGUGACCCGGAAGGGUUCGUCUCUCUUCCUGGACGCCAUGAUGUGAGCGGUUUCCCUCCAUCCAGGCCUCUCCACGGUGCUGCCAACCAUGCGAGGACUGAAAGCUCUGAAACGAAACCUCUAGUUUCAGGAGGGCACACGGAGUCCAGAGCACGUGUGAGGUCGGCCAUCAGCUGGGCUACGGAUCGAUGCAGAUAUGAGCAGGAAGAGGGUCCCCAUGCAACCAGUGGGCCCUUUCCGGUGACGAAGAUCUGCAAGCAUCUGUGCUGGGAGGCGUUCCUGGGUGCCAGGCUUCUGCUGGGUGCGGAAAUGACCUCGUGCUCCAAAGAGACGGAGGAAGGGAAGAGCGGCCGGGGCUCUGAUCAUGGGCUAGCCAGGGUGUGGGAGGUUCAGCGACCCGGUACCGGGAUCUGUCCCUUUUCUUCCUCCUCUAAC